Molecule: ribosomal RNA, 460 nt
Filed under: uncultured bacterium
Lineage: Bacteria
Description: partial 16S ribosomal RNA
Rfam family: Bacterial small subunit ribosomal RNA
Source: RNAcentral
CCUACGGGUGGCAGCAGUGAGGAAUAUUGGUCAAUGGGCGCGAGCCUGAACCAGCCAAGUCGCGUGAAGGAUGACUGCCCUACGGGUUGUAAACUUCUUUUAUAAAGGAAUAAAGUGAGGCACGUGUGCCUUUUUGUAUGUACUUUAUGAAUAAGGAUCGUCUAACUCCGUGCCAGCAGCCGCGGUAAUACGGAGGAGCCGAGCGUUAUCCGGAUUUAUUGGGUUUAAAGGGAGCGUAGAUGGGUUGUUAAGUCAGUUGUGAAAGUUUGCGGCUCAACCGUAAAAUUGCAAUUGAUACUGGCAGGCUUGAGUACAGGUGAGGUAGGCGGAAUUCGUGGUGUAGCGGUGAAAUGCUUAGAUAUCACGAAGAACUCCGAUUGCGAAGGCAGCUUACUAAACUGCAACUGACAUUGAUGCUCGAAAGUGUGGGUAUCAAACAGGAUUAGAUACCCUAGUAGUC